GAUGAACGCUGGCGGCGUGCCUAAUACAUGCAAGUCGAGCGAACAGAUGAGGAGCUUGCUCCUCUGACGUUAGCGGAGGACGGGUGAGUAACACGUGGAUAACCUACCUAUAAGACUGGGAUAACUUCGGGAAACCGGAGCUUAUACCGGAUAAUAUAUUGAACCGCAUGGUUCAAUAGUGAAAGACGGCUUUGCUGUAACUUAUAGCUGGAUCUGCGCCGGGUUAGCUAGUUGGUAAGGUAACGGCUUACCAAGGCAACGAUGCGUAUCCGACAUGAGUGGGUGAGCAGCCACACUGAGACGGAGACACGGUCCAGAGUGCUAGGGGAAGCAGCAGUAGGGAUUCUGCCGCAAGGGGCGAAAACCUGACGGAGCAACGCCGCGGGAGUGAUGAGGGUCUUCGGGUCCGAAAACUCUGUUAUUGGGGAGGAACAAAUGUGUAAGUAACUAUGCACGUCUUGACGGUACCUAAUCAGAGAGCCACGGCUAACUACGUG
This 497-nucleotide ribosomal RNA is filed under the name uncultured bacterium. RNAcentral's name for it is "partial 16S ribosomal RNA". It matches the Rfam family "Bacterial small subunit ribosomal RNA", at positions 28 to 507 of the family's 1533-position model. The record is from RNAcentral.